This 204-nucleotide long non-coding RNA is filed under the name Elaeis guineensis (African oil palm). Its description in RNAcentral is "long non-coding RNA (EGUI_LNC029525)". The record is from RNAcentral. Lineage: Eukaryota; Viridiplantae; Streptophyta; Magnoliopsida; Arecales; Arecaceae.
CACAGCUUGGCUUGAUUGUAACCUUAAAAGUGGUGAUAAAGGCAGCCUUGUCUUUCACCUGCUUUUUUAAAUGUGAUCACUCUCGUAGUGGACUGAGCAUGGAACUCUAAUUAGAUAAUAUCUGAUCAUAUCCUUGGAACCUGAUAAUAGUUCUGUCCUUGGUCUUGACAUUGGUAGGGAAUUUUAUAGCUGUAGGCUCAAUGG